This 253-nucleotide ribosomal RNA is filed under the name uncultured bacterium. RNAcentral describes it as "partial 16S ribosomal RNA". It matches the Rfam family "Bacterial small subunit ribosomal RNA", at positions 524 to 776 of the family's 1533-position model. The record is from RNAcentral.
UACGUAGGGUGCAAGCAUUAAUCGGAUUCAUUGGGCGUAAAGAGCGUGUAGGCGGGAAAGAAAGUUAGAUGUGAAAGCCCGGGGCUCAACUCCGGAACUGCAUCUAAAACUCCUUUUCUAGAGGAUGGACGGAGAAAAUGGAAUUCCACGUGUAGCGGUGAAAUGCGUAGAUAUGUGGAAGAACACCAGUGGCGAAAGCGAUUUUCUAGUUUAGACCUGACGCUGAGGCGCGAAAGCUAGGGGAGCAAACAGG